Molecule: ribosomal RNA, 390 nt
Filed under: uncultured eukaryote
Lineage: Eukaryota
Description: SSU rRNA
Rfam family: Eukaryotic small subunit ribosomal RNA
Source: RNAcentral
CCAGCAGCCGCGGUAAUUCCAGCUCCAAUAGCGUAUAUUAAAGUUGCUGCAGUUAAAAAGCUCGUAGUUGGAUCUUGGGAGCGGGCGGGCGGUCCGCCGCGAGGCGAGCCACCGCCCGUCCCCGCCCCUUGCCUCUCGGCGCCCCCUCGAUGCUCUUAGCUGAGUGUCCCGCGGGGCCCGAAGCGUUUACUUUGAAAAAAUUAGAGUGUUCAAAGCAGGCCCGAGCCGCCUGGAUACCGCAGCUAGGAAUAAUGGAAUAGGACCGCGGUUCUAUUUUGUUGGUUUUCGGAACUGAGGCCAUGAUUAAGAGGGACGGCCGGGGGCAUUCGUAUUGCGCCGCUAGAGGUGAAAUUCUUGGACCGGCGCAAGACGGACCAGAGCGAAAGCAUU